Molecule: transfer RNA, 71 nt
Filed under: Branchiostoma floridae (Florida lancelet)
Lineage: Eukaryota; Metazoa; Chordata; Leptocardii; Amphioxiformes; Branchiostomatidae
Rfam family: tRNA
About the family: Transfer RNA (tRNA) molecules are approximately 80 nucleotides in length. Their secondary structure includes four short double-helical elements and three loops (D, anti-codon, and T loops).
Source: Rfam by way of RNAcentral
GAUCACGUGGCGCAGCAGCAGCGUAUUUGACUCAGGACCAAGAGGUCUCGAGUUUGAAUCUUGACUUGUCA